Molecule: transfer-messenger RNA, 350 nt
Filed under: Pseudomonadota bacterium
Lineage: Bacteria; Pseudomonadati; Pseudomonadota
Also listed under: 1 other name
Rfam family: transfer-messenger RNA
About the family: Bacterial tmRNA, also known as 10Sa RNA or SsrA, is named for its dual tRNA and mRNA-like properties. Its role is to liberate the mRNA from a stalled ribosome.
Source: RNAcentral
GGGGGCGAACGGUCUCGACUGGGUGGGAAGCAGCGGGGCUGCGAGCCGAGGUGGCCAGGUCCUCGCUAAUCAACUGGCAGGCGCAUAAACGCCAACAACCAGUACGCUCUCGCCGCUUAGAUAGCGACGACGCUCUCCCGGUAGGGCCGGCGGCCCGGGCGGAGCGAUACCAGCCGGCUACCGGCAGGCACCCUGGCCCCGGGUGCGUGCCGGGAAUCCCAACGGGCUGGCCGUUCGGGCAUCCGGUCCGCGGGAGGCCCGGACGGCGAGAACCAGAACGCGGACUACGUUCGUAGGCGCCUCGCCCUCAUCCAUCCAGGACGCGGGUUCGAUUCCCGCCGCCUCCACCA